AAAGGACAAAAUAAAAAACCAAUAUUAUAUGUUCCUUCCUCGUUUUCUGCUUCAAUGUGAAAAUGCAGAGAACAACAAAACAAAAGAAAACUCUUUCCAUUCUUAAGUUUUUUAUAAAGAAAAUAAAAACCAAAGAAAUUUCUUCAUGAAACAGAUUAUAGAAAUCUUUGAAAUACAACAAGAAAACAAGACUAUAGAGACAAAGUGGAAAUGAAGAAGUUACCAGCGGAGGAUGGCGGUGAGUUUCCGACGGUGGUGAUGAUGCAAAAAAAAAAGUCGCUGCAACAACUUGAACGGACACUGGGGUGAUUUGCACGUGGAUGAUGUGGUUGGCUAUUGUGAUGAAGUUGUUGUUUUAUGAGAGUUAAAAUGGUGAUGAUGAU
RNAcentral lists this long non-coding RNA (383 nucleotides) under Lathyrus oleraceus (garden pea). Its description in RNAcentral is "Pisum sativum (pea) long non-coding RNA (PSAT_LNC020417)". Lineage: Eukaryota; Viridiplantae; Streptophyta; Magnoliopsida; Fabales; Fabaceae. The record is from RNAcentral.